AAACUAAGGGGGUGGCUUCCAUCUGGAAGAAUCUGGAGACAGGUGCUGCAUGGCUGUCGUCAGCUCGUGUCGUGAGAUGUUGGGUUAAGUCCCGCAACGAGCGCAACCCUUGCCUUUAGUUGCCAGCAGUUCGGCUGGGCACUCUAAAGGGACUGCCGGUGUUAAACCGGAGGAAGGUGGGGAUGACGUCAAGUCCUCAUGGCCUUUAUGACCAGGGCUACACACGUACUACAAUGGCCGAUACAAAGGGCAGCGACACUGCGAGGUGAAGCCAAUCCCGUAAAAUCGGUCUCAGUCCGGAUUGGAGUCUGCAACUCGACUCCAUGAAGUUGGAAUCGCUAGUAAUCGUGGAUCAGCAUGCCACGGUGAAUACGUUCCCGGGCCUU
Molecule: ribosomal RNA, 386 nt
Filed under: uncultured Desulfobulbus sp.
Lineage: Bacteria; Pseudomonadati; Thermodesulfobacteriota; Desulfobulbia; Desulfobulbales; Desulfobulbaceae
Description: bacterial SSU rRNA
Rfam family: Bacterial small subunit ribosomal RNA
Source: RNAcentral